This 427-nucleotide ribosomal RNA is filed under the name uncultured bacterium. RNAcentral's name for it is "bacterial SSU rRNA". It matches the Rfam family "Bacterial small subunit ribosomal RNA", at positions 355 to 774 of the family's 1533-position model. The record is from RNAcentral.
UGGGGAAUAUUGGACAAUGGGGGGAACCCUGAUCCAGCAAUGCCGCGUGUGUGAAGAAGGCCUGAGGGUUGUAAAGCACUUUCGGUGGGGAGGAGGAUAUAUAGGUUAAGAGCUAAUAUAUAGGACGUUACCCACAUAAGAAGCACCGGCUAACUCCGUGCCAGCAGCCGCGGUAAUACGGAGGGUGCGAGCGUUAAUCGGAAUUACUGGGCGUAAAGGGUGCGUAGGUUGUUGAUUAAGUUAUCUGUAAAAUCCCUGGGCUCAACCUGGGCAGGUCAGAUAAGACUGAUUGACUCGAGUAUAGGAGAGGGUAGUGGAAUUUCCGGUGUAGCGGUGAAAUGCGUAGAGAUCGGAAGGAACACCAGUGGCGAAGGCGGCUACCUGGCCUAAUACUGACACUGAGGCACGAAAGCGUGGGGAGCAAACA